UACAGAGGUCUCAAGCGUUGUUCGGAUUCAUUGGGCGUAAAGGGUGCGUAGGCGGCGCGGUAAGUCGGGUGUGAAAUCUCGGAGCUUAACUCCGAAACUGCAUUCGAUACUGCCGUGCUUGAGGACUGGAGAGGAGACUGGAAUUUACGGUGUAGCGGUGAAAUGCGUAGAUAUCGUAAGGAAGACCAGUGGCGAAGGCGGGUCUCUGGACAGUUCCUGACGCUGAGGCACGAAGGCCAGGGGAGCAAACGGGG
RNAcentral lists this ribosomal RNA (254 nucleotides) under uncultured bacterium. RNAcentral describes it as "partial 16S ribosomal RNA". It matches the Rfam family "Bacterial small subunit ribosomal RNA", at positions 524 to 777 of the family's 1533-position model. The record is from RNAcentral.